RNAcentral lists this ribosomal RNA (477 nucleotides) under uncultured bacterium. RNAcentral describes it as "bacterial SSU rRNA". It matches the Rfam family "Bacterial small subunit ribosomal RNA", at positions 335 to 799 of the family's 1533-position model. The record is from RNAcentral.
ACUCCUACGGGAGGCAGCAGUGGGGAAUAUUGCACAAUGGGGGAAACCCUGAUGCAGCCAUGCCGCGUGUGUGAAGAAGGCCUUCGGGUUGUAAAGCACUUUCAGUAGGGAGGAAGGUAGUGUAGUUAACACCUGCAUUAUUUGACGUUACCUACAGAAGAAGCACCGGCUAACUCCGUGCCAGCAGCCGCGGUAAUACGGAGGGUGCGAGCGUUAAUCGGAAUUACUGGGCGUAAAGCGCAUGCAGGCGGCCUGUUAAGUCAGAUGUGAAAGCCCGGGGCUUAAACCUCGGAAUUGCAUUUGAAAACUGGCAGGCUAGAGUCUUGUAGAGGGGGGUAGAAUUUCAGGUGUAGCGGUGAAAUGCGUAGAGAUCUGAAGGAAUACCAGUGGCGAAGGCGGCCCCCUGGACAAAAGACUGACGCUCAGAUGCGAAAAGCGUGGGGAGCAAACAGGAUUAGAUACCCUGGUAGGAUAGCG